Glycine soja is the source of this 138-nucleotide non-coding RNA. The record is from Rfam. Lineage: Eukaryota; Viridiplantae; Streptophyta; Magnoliopsida; Fabales; Fabaceae.
GUUGAGAGGAAUGUUGUCUGGCUCGAGGUCAUGGAGGAGGAGGAGGAGUAGAGUACUGAGAUCAGUGAAAGUUUCCAAUGGAAAUUUACCCUCUUACACAAAAAAAUGAUUCUCGGACCAGGCUUCAUUCCCCCCACC